RNAcentral lists this long non-coding RNA (347 nucleotides) under Homo sapiens (human). RNAcentral describes it as "PREDICTED lncRNA (TCONS_00265288)". Lineage: Eukaryota; Metazoa; Chordata; Mammalia; Primates; Hominidae. The record is from RNAcentral.
GGGUGAGUCGGCCUCGCCAGUGCGCAUGCGCGAGGCCCGAGCCGCCGCUUUGGUCACAGUGACCGCCACCAUUGCCCGGGGAUGGGUCCUUGAGACUUGGCGAAGUAGGAGCCCUGUGUGAUCGUGCGUCAGAGUCGGGGCUGAGACCAGCCCUGGCCAGGGCAGUUACCAGGACGGUCUCCGGAGGCCGGGAUUCGCGGAGGGUCCACCAGCAGGAAGAAACCCCAGGAGGAAGAAAACUCAGACAGAUCGCCGGGGAGGCAGCGCGGGAUCCCAGCCUCAGGCGUGCGCGGACGGUGUGCGGGUCCAGCUAUGCAUCACCCCUUCGCUGAUGAGCAUUAAGAAAA